GUGAUGUCAACAUGGUGUUAACAAUUUCUUUGUUGAGGAAAUAUAUAUAGAUAUGAGAAUUUGGUCCCAGUAUAUCCAUAUAUAUAGAUUGUCAAUCACACGAACAUGCAACUAGCAAUAUUUUCACACAACAUCAUUUUGGAAUGUGGUCCUUGUACAAUGUUCAUUCCUCAGUUAGUUAACCAGAGAUUUCAAUGGCUUUGACAUCGGCUGUUUUCACCAAGUGGGCACAAGAGCAAACAAAAACUCACACAUCACAGAAAGCAACAAACGAGUAAUCCCACUAAAAUCAAAGAUGCAGACUUUGCCGAGGUGUUUCCUAAAAGAAAGAAAAAGAAAAUGAAGGGCAGGGGGAGUCAACAGAGAAAGCGACUAAUGAGAGUGAGGCUCUUCAAAAUCAAAUGGGUAUGUACGGCGGUGGCCACCAUGACAAGGAAUAUUCGACGAUGAAGAUGGAGGCCUUUCCGAUUUUCAUGAAGCUCCUUCUAAUAUGUCGUAACCUGAGAAAGAGAAGGUGCUAAAUUAUAAUUCCUUGCUUUGAUCUUGAGAUGAGCUCAACUUCAGCUUCAUGGGCUCCUUUGGGUGGUGCUCUGUUUUGGGGCAGAGGAGGUCAUCUUUCCCAUCUGGCUUCAAGCACUUCAUUGCCAUGCUUAAUAUGAUAUGAUGAACAGCUCAUGCAAUAGACAAAGGUCGAGGGGAAGAAAAAGUAAGAGAGAUAAGACUUGAGGAAAGCCAAAUGAUAACAUUUACAGCUGCUGAAUGGCGACUAUUGACCAAUUGAUUAUAGUUGCGAUGGUGAUACUGAUUUGGUAAUAUCUUUGGGAUUCUGAAUAAUAUAAAAACUGAUG
This is a non-coding RNA of Prunus avium (sweet cherry), 848 nucleotides long. NCBI's taxonomy places the organism in Eukaryota, Viridiplantae, Streptophyta, Magnoliopsida, Rosales, Rosaceae. The record is from RefSeq and is a predicted model, not a curated record.